Molecule: ribosomal RNA, 477 nt
Filed under: uncultured bacterium
Lineage: Bacteria
Description: bacterial SSU rRNA
Rfam family: Bacterial small subunit ribosomal RNA
Source: RNAcentral
UGAACGCUAGCGGGAGGCUUAACACAUGCAAGUCGAACGGUAACAGGCCCUUCGGGGCGCUGACGAGUGGCGCACGGGUGCGUAACGCGUAUGCAACCUACCUUAUGCAGAGGGAUAGCCCAUGGAAACGUGGAUUAAUACCUCAUAGUAUCAUUAUUCUGCAUGGAAUUAUGAUUAAAACUUCGGUGGCAUAAGAUGGGCAUGCGUAGGAUUAGCUAGUUGGUGAGGUAAUGGCUCACCAAGGCUACGAUCCUUAGGGGUCCUGAGAGGGUUAUCCCCCACACUGGUACUGAGACACGGACCAGACUCCUACGGGAGGCAGCAGUGAGGAAUAUUGGUCAAUGGGCGCGAGCCUGAACCAGCCAUCCCGCGUGCAGGAUGACGGCCCUAUGGGUUGUAAACUGCUUUUCCACGCCAAGAAAUCUCCCGACGUGUCGGGAGCUGACGGUAGCGUGGGAAUAAGCAUCGGCUAACUCC